UACGUAUGGUGCAAGCGUUAUCCGGAUUUACUGGGUGUAAAGGGAGCGUAGACGGAGUGGCAAGUCUGAUGUGAAAACCCGGGGCUCAACCCCGGGACUGCAUUGGAAACUGUCAAUCUGGAGUACCGGAGAGGUAAGCGGAAUUCCUAGUGUAGCGGUGAAAUGCGUAGAUAUUAGGAGGAACACCAGUGGCGAAGGCGGCUUACUGGACGGUAACUGACGUUGAGGCUCGAAAGCGUGGGGAGCAAACAGGAUUAGAUACCCUGGUAGUCCACGCCGUAAACGAUGACUACUAGGUGUCGGGCAGCAAAGCUGUUCGGUGCCGCAGCAAACGCAAUAAGUAGUCCACCUGGGGAGUACGUUCGCAAGAAUGAA
This 375-nucleotide ribosomal RNA is filed under the name uncultured bacterium. RNAcentral's name for it is "bacterial SSU rRNA". It matches the Rfam family "Bacterial small subunit ribosomal RNA", at positions 524 to 898 of the family's 1533-position model. The record is from RNAcentral.